This 1343-nucleotide ribosomal RNA is filed under the name uncultured bacterium. Its description in RNAcentral is "16S ribosomal RNA". It matches the Rfam family "Bacterial small subunit ribosomal RNA", at positions 28 to 1378 of the family's 1533-position model. The record is from RNAcentral.
GACGAACGCUGGCGGCGUGCUUAACACAUGCAAGUCGAACGGAAAGGCCCUGCUUUUGUGGGGUGCUCGAGUGGCGAACGGGUGAGUAACACGUGAGUAACCUGCCCUUGACUUUGGGAUAACUUCAGGAAACUGGGGCUAAUACCGGAUAGGAGCUCCUGCUGCAUGGUGGGGGUUGGAAAGUUUCGGCGGUUGGGGAUGGACUCGCGGCUUAUCAGCUUGUUGGUGGGGUAGUGGCUUACCAAGGCUUUGACGGGUAGCCGGCCUGAGAGGGUGACCGGCCACAUUGGGACUGAGAUACGGCCCAGACUCCUACGGGAGGCAGCAGUGGGGAAUAUUGCACAAUGGGCGGAAGCCUGAUGCAGCAACGCCGCGUGCGGGAUGACGGCCUUCGGGUUGUAAACCGCUUUCGCCUGUGACGAAGCGUGAGUGACGGUAAUGGGUAAAGAAGCACCGGCUAACUACGUGCCAGCAGCCGCGGUGAUACGUAGGGUGCGAGCGUUGUCCGGAUUUAUUGGGCGUAAAGGGCUCGUAGGUGGUUGAUCGCGUCGGAAGUGUAAUCUUGGGGCUUAACCCUGAGCGUGCUUUCGAUACGGGUUGACUUGAGGAAGGUAGGGGAGAAUGGAAUUCCUGGUGGAGCGGUGGAAUGCGCAGAUAUCAGGAGGAACACCAGUGGCGAAGGCGGUUCUCUGGGCCUUUCCUGAUGCUGAGGAGCGAAAGCGUGGGGAGCGAACAGGCUUAGAUACCCUGGUAGUCCACGCUGUAAACGGUGGGUACUAGGUGUGGGGUCCAUUCCACGGGUUCCGUGCCGUAGCUAACGCUUUAAGUACCCCGCCUGGGGAGUACGGCCGCAAGGCUAAAACUCAAAGGAAUUGACGGGGCCCCGCACAAGCGGCGGAGCAUGCGGAUUAAUUCGAUGCAACGCGUAGAACCUUACCUGGGUUUGACAUGGAUCGGGAGUGCUCAGAGAUGGGUGUGCCUCUUUUGGGGUCGGUUCACAGGUGGUGCAUGGCUGUCGUCAGCUCGUGUCGUGAGAUGUUGGGUUAAGUCCCGCAACGAGCGCAACCCUUGUUCACUGUUGCCAGCACGUUAUGGUGGGGACUCAGUGGAGACCGCCGGGGUCAACUCGGAGGAAGGUGGGGAUGACGUCAAGUCAUCAUGCCCCUUAUGUCCAGGGCUUCACGCAUGCUACAAUGGCUGGUACAGAGAGUGGCGAGCCUGUGAGGGUGAGCGAAUCUCGGAAAGCCGGUCUCAGUUCGGAUUGGGGUCUGCAACUCGACCUCAUGAAGUCGGAGUCGCUAGUAAUCGCAGAUCAGCAACGCUGCGGUGAAUACGUUCCCGGG